UUGUUCUUGAAAUAAGUUUGUUCUUUUCAAGACAAUUUGUUCUUGAAUAUUUUCUAAUAAUAACUUAAUAUACUUAUUUCACAGUACAUUUGUUUUCUGCAAUGAGAUAUUAAUAUUCAUUAAUAUGUUUUCUGAUUUUCUCAUCGCAGAUUGACUGGAAGCCUGGUACCUAGUUUACGUGUGAGGGCGCAAAGCUUCAUGGGAUAGCGUCGUUUUAAAAUUAGUGAUGGGCGAUACCACUAGUAUCGAUUCGAUACGAUACCGAUUACUUUUUCGUAAAAGUAUCGAGGUAUCGAUUACCCAAGCGAUUACUACGACGACGAUUGUAUUUAAGAAUUUUCCGCCAUUAUAAUCCAUGAAAAACAAAAAUUUAUUUAUUUCCCGCCUUUUUCGUAAUUUAUUCUGUCGACGAGGUCAGGAAUAUUAAUCAGGAAAGUGGAUAGAAUGUGAAAUAAAGUAAAGGAAGUUUCAUUAAAUUGGUAAAUGCAGCAAAAUACAAAAAAGUACAUAACUUUUAUUAGAAAUAGCCAUGAAAACGAUGACACAACUACAGAAUUAUAAUGAAUGUCUAAUUUUAAAAGUAAUCAAAACACUUUUUCGAUACCGUGCAGUAUCGACUACUUCCGAUUUGGGCCUGGUAUCGGGUGGUAUCGAUAUCAAGUAAUCGGUAAUCGCC
This is a non-coding RNA of Paramuricea clavata, 676 nucleotides long. Lineage: Eukaryota; Metazoa; Cnidaria; Anthozoa; Malacalcyonacea; Plexauridae. The record is from the annotation of a GenBank genome assembly.